RNAcentral lists this long non-coding RNA (1711 nucleotides) under Danio rerio (zebrafish). Its description in RNAcentral is "lncRNA si:dkey-54h16.1 (ENSDARG00000097006.2)". Lineage: Eukaryota; Metazoa; Chordata; Actinopteri; Cypriniformes; Danionidae. The record is from RNAcentral.
GAAAGCUGUGGGGAUGCGUGUGUUUGUACGUGUCACCGGGACGAGCCAUGUGUGGACCGCUGCUGCAACCUGUGCUGUCAGGUCUGUCUAGACGGCUGCUGUCUUAUUUGCUCGGAUGACUGUCGAUAUACUCUGUGUUUCAUUUGCACAAGGGUGGCAGACUCUUGUGCUGCAGUUCUGACCGUUGAACAGCCCAGAUCUACAAUGAAACAAACAGAAGGUUCUGCUUUGGAAGGAGGCCAGUUGGUUUAAAUCACCCACUGAAACAUAAUGGAAGCUGAUGUUUUGGAUAAAGAGCCCUUUCCUACAUCAUGAUGCCAUUUUCUGUACAGAAAGAGACUGAAAAUAUAAGAAGAAACUGUUCUUUCUUACUGCAGUACAUUUGUAGAUUAUUUGCUACCUCUGUAAGUUCACCCAUGUGCCAUUGUAUAUAUGCAGUAUUGUGUUAUUCAUAUUAAAGUGAUUGUGUGAAUUAUUAUGUGUCUGAAGCAUCUAUCGAAAAGUAAAAACACUUGUGCACUCAUGCAAGAACAGGAAGGAAAAAAAGGGUUUGUUUGAUGUAGUUUGCUCCAGAAUGACUGACUCUCAGAGGACGAGCAGGAAAAACUUGAUUUGCACACCCUGUGGAACCAGCUGUCACAGAGGUACAGUAUUUAUAUGGGUCCACCCAAGACGUACGACAGACCAGCCCUGUCAACCUCACGACAACUCAGCCUCGUGAUUGAGGAUUUUAAUUUCUUCCCGGUUUCAAGUGGGACUCGAGACAAAAAGCAAAAUUAAAGGAAAAGAAGAAGACUCUAAACGUCUGAAGACACUUGAAAAGGUCUGAACUAGGUUACCAGCCAUGGAGGAGGAGUACAAGAGCCCCCCACCAUCCUAUGAAGAGGUUAUAACCCAGCAGCAGACAAGCAACACCAAGCAAAGCCAGUCGGCUGAUAGGAGCCAGAACGCAUGCUGCAGGUGCUGUAUGAGCACCAGGAACUGUCUGAUGAGCCCUGAGUGUGGACGAGCUCUCAACAUCGCCAGUGUUGUCGCCAUGUGCGGCAUGUGCAUACGAAUGUUUGUCUAGGGCUGUGUGCCAUCUCUUCCAGAUCUCUCAUCCAGUGGUGUUCUUCUCAAAUUAAGAGACAAACAAAGACGUUUACUGUGUUCCAAGCCCAAAUGAUCUGCAACAUUUAUAAGCUCCACAUGACCCAAUGCCAAUUCAAAUGCUGUCGAAAAUAGCAGGCAGCACUGCGUACUUCACAGAAAAUCUCACAAACACACUGUGACCAAAGAUGACCAUCUAAAAUGGGAAAUGUCAAAUACUAAUUGUUGUUUAUAUAUACAAAGUAGCUGUUCAAUCAGCACUGACACAUAUUGUUGUAAAAGAGUCUUUUUUCAUGUGUUAAGUUUAGCAACAUGCUAACAUAGCUAGCUUCUAUAAGCGACAUGUGCAUUUUUUGGGUGUUUAAACUAUAGAGUGAUAGUUAACUUAUUCAUGAACUAGCACCUUAAAUUUGUAAAUACUGUGUAAUAUUGGGAUGUGUUUCAGUCAGAGACCGUUAACAUACAUGUUAUAUAUCUGAUAUAGAGAAUUAAGGCAUGGUUACAGUUUUGUUCUGCAAAUUUUUACAGAUGAAACAAUAAUGGUUUCAGUCAUUUCUGCAGGAAUCCGCACAAUAUGGAAUUUUACUUCAGGGUGAAAGAUUUACCAAGGAUUUUGAAGCAG